GAAGAGCUUUGAGGCGAUUGAGUUGCAGAAGACAGCGACGAGGCGGUGGUCGGAUGGUCGGAAACUCGGAAUCCUGGUAGUGGUCAGAUGGUGGGUGGUUGUCGAUGGUCGGACGGUCGGUGGUGGUCGCGAACUGGUGGAAUCCUGGUGGUGGCCGAUUGUGUCUCUGUGUUCGAGAGGGAGAUCGGGAGAGGGAGAGGGAGAUCGUGAGAAGGAGAGGGAGGAGGGAGGAGGGAAGGAGGGCGAAAAGAGAGAGGGAGGCGCACGACCCAGCCUUAAGUAAAACUGUAAAACACUUACCCAAAACGACCCCGUUUUCCUUCACUUACACUAGGCGCACGCCUUAUGCGCCUUGGGGUGCGUUUUUUGCGCCUUUUGCGCCUUGUGCUACACCUUUUGCGCCUUUGCGCCUAACCAGCAAAACACGAGGAAUUUUUCAUGCGCCUCGCGCCUUUUGAGCCUCAAGGCGCGCCCGAGGCGCGUUUUUUAAAACAUUGAUGGUAG
This 504-nucleotide long non-coding RNA is filed under the name Fragaria vesca (wild strawberry). RNAcentral's name for it is "long non-coding RNA (FVES_LNC003332)". Lineage: Eukaryota; Viridiplantae; Streptophyta; Magnoliopsida; Rosales; Rosaceae. The record is from RNAcentral.